GCAGACCGAUGCCCAUUUCCCGAAACUGUCUCCAUAGGGAUACUAAGGAAGGACACCACAUUCUCCUUCAAAAAUUUCAAGCGUUCUUGCUACAUAAUUGACUGAAGUGGUUUGGCUUUCAAUCGGCGAGUCAUGUAAUCAACUUCUCCCAUAAUGAAAUUAACUGGAUCUUUUGCCUUCGGAAGAGGGUUCAAUAUUACCGCUCUUUGGCAUUUAUUACAAUCCUCUAUAUUGUCAAUAGCUUUGUUGAAACGUGUUGGCUAAUAAUAUCUAGAGGAAAUACGUCUUCCUCUAGAUAGUUUAGAUAUAACAUCAUCCAGCAGCUAAAUCUAUCGAUGCACAUAACUUCUUCAUGUUGGACAUAGAGUUAUUCCAGAAUUUCCAAAUAAAUUGAUCUUUCCAACAUAGUGGUUUCAGCUGUAGCCAACUUUGACAAUGCAUUCGCAAUCAAUUCUAAUCAAUUCCAAACCUACCAUUGAUUCUUUUCUGUUUUUUCUCUGUAAUUCUUUUUGUUUGAAUUUGUGAAACUCUUAUCACAACACCCAACCAACAACCGACUGAUUUUAACGAUUUUAAUCCGAAAUUGGGCGUGAGAAGAUUCAUUUCAGAACACAUUGAACGCGAUUUUGGGUGUGGUAUGUGUGAUUUGGUUCAGCGAUUUGGGCGUGAGAAGUUUAAUUUCUAAUUUGGGCGUGCGGAGCAGAACUAGGGAAGACGACCGAAUCGUUCGCCGGAAAACGAAUCUGAAGAUGUUGUGAAUUGGUUAGUCAUCUUCUUUGAUGUUUAGAUCAUUAAGUUAUAUGCAUUUGAAGUGUUUACUAUAAGCCAGCAUCAUACAAGAAAAAGGUCAGGCUUGUAUCUAACUGGUGUUUUGGUUCUUUGUAUAACAUGUGGACUGUUAGUUGUUGCUGGUAGUUGGCAUGAGUUGUUUCAGUAUUUACAUUUAAUUCUGACUAAUUUCUAAUUUGAUACAUUAUUUGUUAAGUGGCUUUCAUUUUUUCUUUUGAAACGAAACCCUCCUUUUUUCUAUUUUCUGUCCUGGGAAAUCAGAAAAGAAAUUAGUUGAAUUGUGGUCAAGAACUCGAGAUAUAUAUGUAUAUAUAUAUAUAUAUAUAUAUAUAUAUAUAUCAGUGGAAACAUGAUCCUAGCAACCGACAUUGUUUUAAGCAUUAUUGUGGUUUCUAGUGUCUAACCAUAAGAAUGGGGAAAGAUUGGUUGGCCUUGUUAGGGGUUUUUAGUGUCUAACCAUUUUCACUUUGAACCAUUCUUGUUCAUAAGCAUGUUUCAAAAUUUUCUUCUCUUUAUGCAUUAUGUAGGGUUGAGUUUGAUCAAAGUUUUCACUGGUUACUAAAUUAAGAGUGAGCUUGAUUUUAUUUUAUCAUUUAUCAUUUUGUAGUCCUGAGUUUUAUCUGUCUGCUAAGUGUGUCUUGGUAUAUAUCCAAAAAUUGAAGUUGAAUUUGACUGUGAGAAUUUCCUGGUUGAUGAUAAUUAAAUAGAUAGUAUAGUGAGAUUAAAGGAUAACUUGAGGGAAUCCGUUAGUUUCUGGUGAAUGGAAAAACUCUCUUGUUUAGCUUUACAGAUGUUUGUAGGAAUUACCAUGUGAAUCAAAUACAAUUAUCUAGUUAAACUGGAAUUCCUGUGUGAAUCAAAUACAAUUAUCUUUCUUAUUUAGUUCCUUCUCAUUGGAUUAUUUCUUGCAAAACAGGCUGCUUUGAAAAAAAAUAUAAAUAUUAUUUCAUUGAUUUGUGCACUCCCUGCUUACUCCCUCCUUUUUUCUAUUUUCUGUCCUGGGAAAUCAGAAAGGAAAUUAGUUGAAUUGUGGUCAAGAACUCGGGAUAUAUAUGUAUAUAUAUAUCAGUGGAAACAUGAUCCUUUUGUAAUGUUGGAAUAGAUUCCCCCACACAACAACCUAAAAAAAGCAGCAUAGACAUAAUGCAUAUAAUUAUAUGUCCUGAAAAAGAUGUUUGAAUUUCACUUUAAUGCAGCUGUAAAAGAUUAACAUAGUAUACAUAAUGCAACUAUAUACUAUGUUUGAAUUUCACAGAAAUUUCACUUUAAUGUGAGCACAUAUACUAUGUUUGUCGAUUAAUUUAUUAUUUUGAUUCGACUGGGGCUAACAUGAAUACAACUGCACAUAUAUGUCCCAGAAUUUGAAUCUCAUUUGAGUUUCGGCAAGUUCUUUUUACUGACUCUCUCAUCUCAUGGCAUUGUGUUUUUGUAUUUAAAGUUUUUCAUGUUAAUAAUUACAAGUAAUUAAAAUUCAAAGUCAACACUCUGCUAGUCGUCAUUCAAAUUGUGAAUUUCAUGUUUAUUUACCAAUUAUAUAAAAUUAUUUGUUGUUAUAAGUAUAUAUACCAAUUAUAAUUAUUUUUAUUUGAUUGUGGUAUCAUUCUUGCAGGCAUAAAACUACUCUGUCACUUGCUUUUUUCCAAAUAAAGAUAUCCAAGUAUGUGCAGUUAUUAAUUUUAAGGUAUCAAAAGAAGCAUAUAACCAUCCUCAACUCUAGGCC
RNAcentral lists this long non-coding RNA (2509 nucleotides) under Panax ginseng (ginseng). RNAcentral describes it as "long non-coding RNA (PGIN_LNC003139)". Lineage: Eukaryota; Viridiplantae; Streptophyta; Magnoliopsida; Apiales; Araliaceae. The record is from RNAcentral.